AGCUCAGUUCAAGUGACCUUUGACAGGAUUAAGCCAGGAAGCACGCCCCCAAAGUUCCAGAAUGUCCAAGCAGUUGCAGGUCAAAAAGAUCAUUUGAUAGUGACGUGUCAGUUAGAAUCAACAGGGUUUGGUUUCAUAGUGUUUGCAACCCAGCAAACGGCUGCCAGUGUCAAACUAUCUACCUGUGAUGUCAGUGUCAACAGACUUUCUGGAAAGCUUAAGUCUAAGGUAGGUU
Long non-coding RNA from Lytechinus pictus (painted urchin), 235 nucleotides. RefSeq lists it as uncharacterized. The record is from RefSeq and is a predicted model, not a curated record. Lineage: Eukaryota; Metazoa; Echinodermata; Echinoidea; Temnopleuroida; Toxopneustidae. The transcript is spliced from 3 exons.